RNAcentral lists this ribosomal RNA (1343 nucleotides) under uncultured bacterium. Its description in RNAcentral is "16S ribosomal RNA". It matches the Rfam family "Bacterial small subunit ribosomal RNA", at positions 28 to 1378 of the family's 1533-position model. The record is from RNAcentral.
GACGAACGCUGGCGGCGUGCUUAACACAUGCAAGUCGAACGGAAAGGCCCUGCUUUUGUGGGGUGCUCGAGUGGCGAACGGGUGAGUAACACGUGAGUAACCUGCCCUUGACUUUGGGAUAACUUCAGGAAACUGGGGCUAAUACCGGAUAGGAGCUCCUGCUGCAUGGUGGGGGUUGGAAAGUUUCGGCGGUUGGGGAUGGACUCGCGGCUUAUCAGCUUGUUGGUGGGGUAGUGGCUUACCAAGGCUUUGACGGGUAGCCGGCCUGAGAGGGUGACCGGCCACAUUGGGACUGAGAUACGGCCCAGACUCCUACGGGAGGCAGCAGUGGGGAAUAUUGCACAAUGGGCGGAAGCCUGAUGCAGCAACGCCGCGUGCGGGAUGACGGCCUUCGGGUUGUAAACCGCUUUCGCCUGUGACGAAGCGUGAGUGACGGUAAUGGGUAAAGAAGCACCGGCUAACUACGUGCCAGCAGCCGCGGUGAUACGUAGGGUGCGAGCGUUGUCCGGAUUUAUUGGGCGUAAAGGGCUCGUAGGUGGUUGAUCGCGUCGGAAGUGUAAUCUUGGGGCUUAACCCUGAGCGUGCUUUCGAUACGGGUUGACUUGAGGAAGGUAGGGGAGAAUGGAAUUCCUGGUGGAGCGGUGGAAUGCGCAGAUAUCAGGAGGAACACCAGUGGCGAAGGCGGUUCUCUGGGCCUUUCCUGACGCUGAGGAGCGAAAGCGUGGGGAGCGAACAGGCUUAGAUACCCUGGUAGUCCACGCUGUAAACGGUGGGUACUAGGUGUGGGGUCCAUUCCACGGGUUCCGUGCCGUAGCUAACGCUUUAAGUACCCCGCCUGGGGAGUACGGCCGCAAGGCUAAAACUCAAAGGAAUUGACGGGGCCCCGCACAAGCGGCGGAGCAUGCGGAUUAAUUCGAUGCAACGCGUAGAACCUUACCUGGGUUUGACAUGGAUCGGGAGUGCUCAGAGAUGGGUGUGCCUCUUUUGGGGUCGGUUCACAGGUGGUGCAUGGCUGUCGUCAGCUCGUGUCGUGAGAUGUUGGGUUAAGUCCCGCAACGAGCGCAACCCUUGUUCACUGUUGCCAGCACGUUAUGGUGGGGACUCAGUGGAGACCGCCGGGGUCAACUCGGAGGAAGGUGGGGAUGACGUCAAGUCAUCAUGCCCCUUAUGUCCAGGGCUUCACGCAUGCUACAAUGGCUGGUACAGAGAGUGGCGAGCCUGUGAGGGUGAGCGAAUCUCGGAAAGCCGGCCUCAGCUCGGAUUGGGGUCUGCAACUCGACCUCAUGAAGUCGGAGUCGCUAGUAAUCGCAGAUCAGCAACGCUGCGGUGAAUACGUUCCCGGG